AAAACGGAGAGUUUGAUCCUGGCUCAGGAUGAACGCUGGCGGUAUGCUUAACACAUGCAAGUCGAACGAGAUGCUUAGGCAUCUAGUGGCGGACGGGUGAGUAACGCGUGAGAAUCUGGCUCCAGGUCGGGGACAACAGUUGGAAACGACUGCUAAUACCGGAUGUGCCGAGAGGUGAAAGAUUUAUCGCCUGGAGAUGAGCUCGCGUCUGAUUAGCUAGUUGGCGGUGUAAGGGACCACCAAGGCAUCGAUCAGUAGCUGGUCUGAGAGGAUGAUCAGCCACACUGGGACUGAGACACGGCCCAGACUCCUACGGGAGGCAGCAGUGGGGAAUUUUCCGCAAUGGGCGAAAGCCUGACGGAGCAAUACCGCGUGAGGGAGGAAGGCUCUUGGGUCGUAAACCUCUUUUCUCAAGGAAGAAGAAAGUGACGGUACUUGAGGAAUAAGCAUCGGCUAACUCCGUGCCAGCAGCCGCGGUAAUACGGAGGAUGCAAGCGUUAUCCGGAAUGAUUGGGCGUAAAGGGUCUGCAGGUGGAACUGAAAGUCUGCUGUUAAAGAGUUUGGCUUAACCAAAUAAAAGCGGUGGAAACUACAGAACUAGAGUGCGGUAGGGGCAAAAGGAAUUCCUGGUGUAGCGGUGAAAUGCGUAGAUAUCAGGAAGAACACCGGUGGCGAAAGCGUUUUGCUAGACCGUAACUGACACUGAGGGACGAAAGCUAGGGGAGCGAAUGGGAUUAGAUACCCCAGUAGUCCUAGCCGUAAACGAUGGAUACUAGGCGUGGCUUGUAUCGACCCGAGCCGUGCCGGAGCUAACGCGUUAAGUAUCCCGCCUGGGGAGUACGCACGCAAGUGUGAAACUCAAAGGAAUUGACGGGGGCCCGCACAAGCGGUGGAGUAUGUGGUUUAAUUCGAUGCAACGCGAAGAACCUUACCAAGACUUGACAUCCUGCGAAUCCCGGUGAAAGCUGGGAGUGCCUUAGGGAGCGCAGAGACAGGUGGUGCAUGGCUGUCGUCAGCUCGUGUCGUGAGAUGUUGGGUUAAGUCCCGCAACGAGCGCAACCCUCGUUUUUAGUUGCCAGCAUUAAGUUGGGCACUCUAGAGAGACUGCCGGUGACAAACCGGAGGAAGGUGAGGAUGACGUCAAGUCAGCAUGCCCCUUACGUCUUGGGCUACACACGUACUACAAUGCUACGGACAGAGGGCAGCGAGCCAGGGAUGGCAAGCGAAUCCAGAAACCGUAGCUCAGUUCAGAUCGAAGGCUGCAACUCGCCUUCGUGAAGGAGGAAUCGCUAGUAAUUGCAGGUCAGCAUACUGCAGUGAAUUCGUUCCCGGGCCUUGUACACACCGCCCGUCACACCAUGGAAGUUGGUCACGCCCGAAGUCAUUACCCCAACCGAAAGGAGGGGGAUGCCUAAGGUAGGACUGGUGACUGGGGUGAAGUCGUAACAAGGUAGCCGUACCGGAAGGUGUGGCUGGAUCACCUCCUUUU
Molecule: ribosomal RNA, 1489 nt
Filed under: Cylindrospermopsis raciborskii CENA303
Lineage: Bacteria; Bacillati; Cyanobacteriota; Cyanophyceae; Nostocales; Aphanizomenonaceae
Description: bacterial SSU rRNA
Rfam family: Bacterial small subunit ribosomal RNA
Source: RNAcentral